This 1881-nucleotide long non-coding RNA is filed under the name Salmo salar (Atlantic salmon). RNAcentral describes it as "lncRNA (ENSSSAG00000099756.1, ENSSSAG00000104492.1)". The record is from RNAcentral. Lineage: Eukaryota; Metazoa; Chordata; Actinopteri; Salmoniformes; Salmonidae.
AUUGAAGAUGGCUGCCAAUGAAGUAGCAGGCCUCUCUGCUCAGGUAGAACGGCCAACACAACACCUACAGUACACACACACACCUGAAUACCUGUUAAGCUAUUUAGUGUUCGUGAUAGUAAACGUUAACACAGAUGGCUUCUAGAUGUGGGCAGGGACAGGCAGCAGGAUCCCAGCCCCAGAGAAGACGACAGGAGUGCUCAGACCUCCAGGACACAUACCUACUCCAUGGGGAGCCUAGCCCUCCUCUCAGUAACCUGUCUCUCCAUGCCUCCUGGUGGUCCGGCAGGGACGAGCACAGAGAGACUGGGCCCUCCCUUGGCAUAGCACCCUGCAUCCCACUGCUGGCUUCCAUAGCACCCUGCAUCCCACUGCUGGCUUCCAUAGCACCCUGCAUCCCACUGCUGACUUCCAUAGCACCCUGCAUCCCACUGCUGACUUCCAUAGCACCCUGCAUCCCACUGCUGGCUUCCAUAGCACCCUGCAUCCCACUGCUGGCUUCCAUGGCACCCUGCAUCCCACUGCUGGCUUCCAUGGCACCCUGCAUCCCACUGCUGGCUUCCAUGGCACCCUGCAUCCCACUGCUGGCUUCCUUCUGAAGCUAAGCAGGGUUGGUCCUGGUUGGUCCCUGGAUGGGAGACCAGAUGCUGCUGAAGUGGUGUUGGAGGACCAAUAGCACCCACUCUUUCCUCUGGUCUAAAAAAUAUCCCAAUGCCCCAGGGCAGUGAUUGAGGACAUUGCCCUGUGCUGUCUUUCAGAUGGGACGUAUGUACCUCGGCCUAAACAUCAGCGCCACAGGAGCAACUGGUUGAGAGAAAUCAGCACGUUGCCAGACUACAGGAUUCACUGAGACGCGAGCGAGAGAAGGGUUCCAGCCUGCAGUCUCGGUGUAAACAGCAGGGGUCAGAGUUGAGGCGUCGAGAGCAGCACAGCGCCAGACUGAAGGAGAGACUAACCCAACUUGCAGAGAGACACAGAGAGAGAGGAGCCUCCAUGGAGCUGUUGAACCCGUUGCCCAGAGGUCAGGUGAAGAGGGACAGACCAGCCAAGACCAACGGAAGGAAGGAGGAGGCAGCGCUACGUGUGAUGCUGGAGCGGCGAGAGGCGGAGUUAGACCCUAUUGGACACUGUGGGUGACCAGGAAGAGGACAGAGACAACGCCAAGAUGCUGGUCCAGUCAGAGGAGUCCCUGGGCGACCAUGUGACAGGGGGUGUGGUCCAGGGAUGGAAGAGUGUGCAGAGGAGACUAGGGGACCUCCUGAGUCAGGGUCACGUGGCUGUGGGGACUGACCAGGAUAAGCUCUUGGCCCAGCUAGAGACAGAGUUGGAUCAGAGUCAACAGCUGGUCAAACUGCAGCCGCAUCUACUACAGCCGCUCUGACAGACUGCUACUUCCUGGAAGAGUGGGAGCGGCUUCAGAGCAUCUGGGCGGAGCUAGAACACCAGAAGCGGAGCUUCCAUAGGGAGAGACGGGCCUUCACCGAUGCCGCCAUCCGAUUGGGCCACGAGAUCUCUCAGAUUCUGAUCACAUGAUCCUGUCCGGCUGCCGCCAGGCCACGCCCUCCUCUGGGAUCAUGCCCUGGUUAGGGUCAUCGGGGUCUCUGCAGGUUCAUGGCAGGGUCAAAGUUUGCACCCCAGAGCUCUACUCUGCCCUCCAACUGCAGGUCCAGUGAGAGUGAUGCUCAGUCAGAGUGCUGGGAUGUGCUGGCAGAGAGGCUCCAGUUCGCCGCCACUGGUACUCGCCUGGACUGGUCAUUUCAGUAGGAUGGCUGUUUCUGUCGUUUCCAUUGUAUGUUUGUAUAAUAUUGUCUGUUUCAGUUGUUCCUUUGUUUCUAUUGUGUUUGAUGAAAUCGUUUUUCAAUGUGAUUAAUAAAGAUUAAU